RNAcentral lists this long non-coding RNA (3290 nucleotides) under Urocitellus parryii (Arctic ground squirrel). Its description in RNAcentral is "lncRNA (ENSUPAG00010021598.1)". Lineage: Eukaryota; Metazoa; Chordata; Mammalia; Rodentia; Sciuridae. The record is from RNAcentral.
GUAUGUAGGUUGGAAGAUUUAAAAUUUCCCAUAAUCUCCCAAACCAAUCAGGAGAAAACAGAUUUUUGAAAAGCUCACUUGAAAAGCGAGGAGCCUUCAUGUCUCAGAACAUCUCUGGACGUCUGGGCCACCAAUAGUUCUAUCGAAGGUCCCAUGACGCUGAUCAGGCAUUCUAAUUACAGCACAUUUCACAGGCUGCAGAACCCUCUGAUGUCCUUCUCAACCUCCUGACAAGUCUACAGGAGGGAGUUAAUGCCAGCAAGUGUCACCAUCCCCAUUUUACAGAUAAGAAAACUAAAGCUCAACUGAUUGAGGGAGAGCUGUAGCCACAAUAUUCUCCAUUUCAGACUUGAACUUGUCCCUUCAAUAAAUGAUGGCAAUGUUCCAGUUGGCAAAGUCCUUUUGCAAAGUGGUGAAUGACUAAAUCAGCAAAAAGAAAACUAAGGAAAUUCUAGAAAGGACAUCAACCAGGGCAGCAGGUAGGCAGAGAAAAGCAUUUGAAUACUAGGAUUCUGGUCGAGUGUGGGGACAGGAGCCGCGUCCCCUCCUCGACCUUGGGGYGCCGUGCCCUCUCUUCUUGCUGGAAGCUUGUCCCAGGCCCCAGUGGGCUGUACCUGCACUUCCCUCGGGGUCACCCCGUCACCAGGAAAGCGCCCGGGUGCAUGACAAACCCACAGAACCACUGAACAGACACCCCAAGUGCCUGCCUCCAGGGCUCAGCCGGUUGAAGGGCAAUGCCACGUCACACCCUCUAGCGAGUCCUUCCUCCAGGAACAAGCCAGCCUGCCUCUGCCCUGCCUGAUGGCUCUCGGACACACAGGCUGCUCUGCCUCACAUGAUCCACUCGGCCCAGCCCACAGGGGCUGACGCUGCAGGAACACAGGUCUCCCAAAGCCCAGGGAGCCAAAAUGGCCCACUUCACAUCUUGCUUGGAAACCGCACAGCUACCGCUUUCAAAAGGCCGAUUUCUGUGUGGAGGGACAUGUAGAAAAGUAAGGGUCGAGUGGGGCGUGCUUAUUUACCGACAUUGGCAACAGAGCUGCUACUCUGGAAGAUCCAUGAUGUCCAGGCCAAGGGAGGAGAGCAGAGCAGCCCAUGCUGACGUCACUUUUAGGAAAACAGGAGUGACUCCAUGGACUGCCUCCCCUGACCCCAAAGGGAAAACCCUGCUUCUCCCAGGUAAAGAGGAAGGACAACCGCCGGCCAGGGCGGAGACCAGGAGGCCACAGGAGGAAGGGAAMGGGGCGCCUAUGUGAAUUUUCAUUAUGUGAGAAAUAUCAAAACUGUAGCUGCUCCUGGGCCGUCAGCUGACUCUGCGAUCUGCGGCUGGAGAGGCACUCGGGUGGGCGUCAGGUCGGCUUCGGUUCUAGGAGGAGGACUUUCAAAUUACUCAUGGGGCACCGGGACUCAAAAUCCUACAUCAUCUUUUCAGGCAAAAAAAGAGAGACGAGCCUGCCCAUAUUAAGAUACAAAGCCUGUAUUUACUUCUGGGUCUGGUCAAGUGAAAGACUGGAUCCCUUGAAAUGGCCUCAGGGUUUGUGUGGCCACUCCUGACAGACAAAGGACUUUGGAGGGCAAGUUCCCACUCCCCCAGUGUCUGGGGGGCUGGCCUGGGAUCCUAAGCCAGCCCCAGAGCCCUSCUCAGAGGGUGUCACUCCCACUCCAAUCAGAGCGGAAGCCCAGGGGAAGCAUCCUGGAGGAGGACGCGGCGUCAAAGUGGGCUGUACUCCGCUGCGGACACGCACGUGGUUGUCAAUCAUUCUUCUCCUCCUGGCCAUGCUCCUGGAGCAGGCACAGUGAGGACRGGUAGGAUUGGUGGAGGAGAUGGGAGCAGAGACCCUGUCCACAAGGAGGGCUGUCCCUAAAUUCACGGAGACCCGUGGGAGGAAGAGGCAGAUGACAAAAGCAGCAAGUCACAGGGCCCCUGCGCUGUCGCGGAGAUCACGUCUACAGAUGGUGGCGGUUCCCUUCACACAGGGCACUAUCUGCUGCCCUACUGCUGCUGAUCCAUCCCACAGAAAGACCACCCCAGAGCCACACGCAAGAGGACAAACCCGGUGCUGCUGGUGUCGCGGAGACGACGUCUUCCAAYACUCAAGUUUCAUAAUUAUAACAGAAAGGCGUAAAUUUUCUAAUGCAUGGCAGUUCAAAAAGUAAUCAAGGGAAUGAGCCGGAGGGCUAUUUUAAUGUAUGCAAAGCUAGUGACCCUCGGUAAAUGGGAGGUUAGCCACAAUGAAUGCAAAGUAAUGCACACACCCCAAGUCCUGCUCUAGUGAGGGACGGCUAAAAUUAACACCCAAUUAAUUUCCGAAUUGACAAACAAAUGAAACCCAUAAAUCUACUUUCUCAUUAAUUUUCUUGUGGUAUAAUUUAAAGCAGUAAUAUGAGGGCAAAAACUGAGUAUUAUCCAUCAUAAACAUCAAAAAGAUAGCACUGUAACACCAUAAAUUAUGCAUAUUACCUGUUGUUAAAAAUGAUUUAUGUAUUAUCAACUUUCCCGUGCACUGUGGAUGUCUAGCUCUAUCUGCUAAAAUCCGGGAUUGCAUUUACCACGAGGGAAGGACAUACUCAGGAGCAGUGGAACUGUCAAAGGCCAAAAACAAAACAAAACAAAACAAAACAAACAAACAAACAAAAAACCAAAAAACCCAAGUGUGGCUACCUAGUCAUACAAGAGACCAGGGAAAAACUGGAACCUCCCCAGGUCUCUGGUGAGUGGAGUUUGAGAGCUUGGAAGCCAGGGGAAGAGACAGAGUCCCUAAGCCGGGCACCUAGGAAGCUCAGCCUGUGUGUCCUGAGGGUAAGCUCAUCUCCCCUCUUUUGCAACAUGAGAAAUGCAGUGCCUGAUGCAGGAAAGGGGCAGGCACAAGAGGGUACUAGAGGGGUCCCACAGCCAGUGGGGGGCAUCUCAGCACACCACAGGACUCGGGAAACCCAGGAAGCUCAGGAAAGCCAUGUCUAGAGGUAGAAUCUGGUGGGCUCACCUGUCUAUAUUUAUACUUCCAAGGGGGUGGGAGAAAAAAACUAGUUUCUGGUUAUUGCUUCAAUCAGAAACAUUGAUCUGUUAAAUAGAAGAGGAGACACUCUAAUUAAAAGUCUAAUCCACCCUUCCACCUCCAUUUGUUUAAAAAAAAAGUAAACCAGGCACGGUGGCACAUGCCUGCAAUCCCAGUGGCUUGGGAGGCUGAGGCAGGAGGAUCAUGAGUUCAAUGCCAGCCUCAGUAACUUAGCAAGGCUCUAAGCAACGCAGCGAGAACCUGUCUCUAAAUAAACACAAAAAAGGUCUGAGG